This 654-nucleotide ribosomal RNA is filed under the name uncultured archaeon. Its description in RNAcentral is "bacterial SSU rRNA". It matches the Rfam family "Archaeal small subunit ribosomal RNA", at positions 207 to 859 of the family's 1478-position model. The record is from RNAcentral.
GGAUGGGUCUGCGGCCGAUUAGGUAGUUGGUUAGGUAAUGGCUUACCCAAGCCGUUGAUCGGUACGGGGUUGUGAGAGCAAGAGCCCGGAGAUGGAACCUGAGACAAGGUUCCAGGCCCUACGGGGUGCAGCAGGCGCGAAACCUCCGCAAUGUGAGAAAUCGCGACGGGGGGAUCCCAAGUGCCAUUCUUAACGGGAUGGCUUUUCAUUAGUGUAAAGAGCUUUUGGAAUAAGGGCUGGGCAAGACCGGUGCCAGCCGCCGCGGUAACACCGGCAGCUCUAGUGGUAGCAGUUUUUAUUGGGCCUAAAGCGUCCGUAGCCGGUUUAAUAAGUCUCUGGUGAAAUCCUGUAGCUUAACUGUGGGAAUUGCUGGAGAUACUAUUAGACUUGAGACCGGGAGAGGUUAGAGGUACUCCCAGGGUAGAGGUGAAAUUCUGUAAUCCUGGGAGGACCGCCUGUUGCGAAGGCGUCUAACUGGAACGGUUCUGACGGUGAGGGACGAAAGUUAGGGGCGCGAACCGGAUUAGAUACCCGGGUAGUCCUAACUGUAAACGAUGCGGACUUGGUGUUGGGAUGGCUUUGAGCUGCUCCAGUGCCGAAGGGAAGCUGUUAAGUCCGCCGCCUGGGAAGUACGGUCGCAAGACUGAAACUUAA